This is a long non-coding RNA of Sarcophilus harrisii (Tasmanian devil), 2186 nucleotides long. RefSeq lists it as uncharacterized. The record is from RefSeq and is a predicted model, not a curated record. NCBI's taxonomy places the organism in Eukaryota, Metazoa, Chordata, Mammalia, Dasyuromorphia, Dasyuridae. The transcript is spliced from 3 exons.
CAACUCUCCUCAUUCCCUAGAAAUUAUUUUUCAUUUAUUUUAAAUUUAAUUUCUAUGUACACACUAUUUCACUCAAUAGCAUGAAAGGUCCUUGAGACCAGGGACUGUUUCUUUUUUUUUUUUUUUUUUGGCAUCUCCAGUGCCUAGCACAGUGCUUAGUAGAUGGAUGGCACAAUAACUGCUUGCUGAAUGUAUGAAUGGAUAAUAUAGGAUGUGAGGCAGAGGGAAGACUCAAGGAUGACUCAAGAUUAUGAAUCUGUGAAGAUAGUAGUAGCAUGCUCAAUAGGAGUUUGCAGGACAAAGUUUCAAGGGGAGGAUGAUAACUUUCAUUUUGAACAUGUUCAAUUUGUGAUGCUAAUGUGACAUUCAGAUGUAAUGUAAUUUACAACCUUGUCUGAUUCUUACAAAAUAGUACACAGAUUAUAUCAUUUGAACUACUUUUCAGCAUAAUUUUUAUGAUUGAUCUCUCAUGUUCUAUAGGAGGAUAUUGUAAUGCCAUAUCCUACUAUUUCCUGCUACAUCAUAAUGGAUUAUGUUGUAAAUUAGAAUCCUAAAUUAAGUAAUAAGGCAGGACAAGAUGUGAAUUACACUGCAGUUAUUUACACCUUAUGUGUUAGGCAGAAGGACAAAAGCAGAUUUCUCUCUGUGAAACCAGAUGGGUUGUUAUACCAUAAUUCAAACCCUAAAAUAUACAUUAAACAUAACAAAAGGAGAAUAUGCAUAUAUUCUUGAACAGGAGAUAGGCAGAGCAUAAGGGGGACAUUCAAUAGCUUGGAUUGAAAAGAAAAACAAACUCUGAGAUUUCUUUCAUGUUUUUGAUUUUUUUCAGAGUCAAAAGCACAGUGGUCUUCAGCUCCCAGCAGGCAUUAAGCCACAGGGAACUUUCAUUUGUAACAGGAGUGCCUGCUAGUCCUUUGGCACUGCCUUAGCUUGGAAAAGGACCAGCAUCUCUCUGAAGAGGAGAUAAGAAGGAACAUUUAAACAACCAAAGUUUUGUUUCCUUUCAGAGGCUCUCUCUUCAGAAAGGAAAAUUGGUUGGAGAAGCAUUUUCUGGUCUAAAAAUGGCUGUUCCCCUCUAAAGCUGUGGCAUAUCUAUAAGAGACCACAUGGAUUCCAAUUUAAAAAAGAGGAAGACUAUCAAAAAAUACCAGAGAAUGGAGCCUAAACAAAAUACCAGUCUGAAUCUUACUGUGCUGGCAUUGAUACUGAAUGGAAACACUAUCCUGAAAGUCAAUGUGCCUGUUGACCAAUGAACAAAGAGGUGAAGUGUUUGAGUGUGAGAAGUAACAGAAGGAAAGCUAGAAUUUGAAAUUUGCUGAAGAUAAUCUGUACAUAUCUAACAGGCCUACAAAUGGCUGUCCAAGAGUUGGAAAACUUCAAACAAAGUCAUGGUGAACGUAAAUGGGAACAGUAAAGAGAAGAGAGUCAGUUUUGCUUUUUGAUUUACCUGAACUCUCACUAUAUGGAGAGAAGGGAUUUAGAUGAAAAAAAUCUAUAUGUGGACAACUGAAAGAUGACUUCAUUUUAGGGAACUAGAGUGACCUCUAUGUAUAAGAGAAAAGCAAAAAAAUAAAAAAAUAAAAUUUACCACAUCUAGAGUCCCUAGUGGAAAAUUAUUGACCUGUAGAGUGGAAUAUGAAUGAUUAUUACCAAAUUUGAGGGAAAAAUUUUGUACAUAUGCUUGAGAUACAUUCUUUUCAAUAAACUAAAAUCUGCAGCCACUAUGAAUUUUAUUACAUCCUUAUUAAAUGCUUCUUUGCCUUUUAACAUGCUGUGCUGUCAAUCUGUCAUGCAUUUUACUGCUCCUGUUUGAGUCAUGUGAUUAUUUAAUAACAGUUUUCAAAAUAUAUGAAGGGUGACAGAGGUUGACAGUUACUUGGAUUUUUCUCAAAAAUAUUAACAAAUAGCUAUCUCAGAAGGUUUAAAAGGAAUAACUCCUGCUCCAUUACAAUGGGAUGACAUAAAUAACUUCAGUGCUCAACAAACAAAAGUUAGCCCCAACACAGGUAUUGUUCGUCAAUGAGUAACUAUAUGAUAGGUCACAAAAAUUUUCACAUACUCCUAAAUAUGAUAUUCCAGCUUAGUAGAUUUAAAUAUUAAUUUACAGGGAAUCUGACUUCCCAUUACUGAUUACUGGAUAUUUUGCAAAAGGAAUAAAUAAAAUAUAGGUUCUAAAACAUAGGAGA